Long non-coding RNA from Bombyx mori (domestic silkworm), 1467 nucleotides. RefSeq lists it as uncharacterized. The transcript is spliced from 3 exons. The record is from RefSeq and is a predicted model, not a curated record. NCBI's taxonomy places the organism in Eukaryota, Metazoa, Arthropoda, Insecta, Lepidoptera, Bombycidae.
CCGGGUACAGGCUCUGGCGUGGUCAUCGUUGCAGAGGUCACCGUCGACGUCACAGGCGGAUGCUAGAGCGGCGCGUGCGGAUGAGGCUCGUGAUGGUGAGCUGGUCCGCCUCCGCCUCGCUCCCGCUUCAGGCGUUGUUUAAGAUGCGGUGGCUAACAACGCUCUAUGGAGUGAUACCGGGGAAGGCUACCCGUGAAUGAAGACUUCAUUCACCCCUGCGUAUCGACCCGAACAUAUGACACGAGCCGAACUUUCACUAGGGCGUAUGAAAUAUCGAGCUCUGCGAAAGUGAGGUAGAGGAACUUACUGAUGCUCAUCAGUUUGCUGGACCUAUCUCAUUAAGGAAACUAGUAGAUCCGACUUAAUGACUUUAUCUAAUGGCAGCUUAUCGCAACGUGCGUAGUGAAAUUUGAGAGGAAGAAAAAAGGUCCAAUUUUUGUGCCAUGAAUACGUGCACCAGUGCCAUAAGAUCACUGUGAUUAGUGUAAGCAUUUUAGGAAAUAAUUAUUCUUGUAGUUAUUUUUGUUGAUCAUAGUUUGUUUGUUCCUGCAAUAAAUUGACCAUAAUUCAGUUUUAGUUUUAAACAUCUUAAAUUUGGAUUUUGAUUUUUUCAAAGCAAUAAAAUUGUAAUUAUUAAAUAUAUAAUAAUUUUAGAAUAAAAUAAACAAAUCAAACAGGGAAUAUCCCUGACAGUUUGUUUCAUCGUUAACUUCCGGCCACAGAUAAAGCAGAUUGCAAGCCGACAUGAAUAUUUUAUGCUGUUUGUGAUUUCCAGAAGCUGUUUUGCUACCCGUAGAUAUAAACGAUAGUCAUGUACCUACAUGUGUGAGUCAGUUCGUGAACAAAGAUUUUAAGCAUUCCACUUAUUCACGUUUAAGCGUACAUGUUCGAGAUACAGAAGCGAGAUUGGUCGAGCGUAUAAGGCUGAUAUCGUUAAUCGCGACACUAAUUACAUGCACUAAAAACAUUGUUUUAUAGUCGAAGUCAAUCGUUCGGAUCGAAGUGAACUGAGUCAACUGUAAUCGAUAUAGUGUAAUUGCAGAGCAUGUAUCGAGUGAGACAAUGACGUCGCAGCCCGAGUAGAGAUCGUAUCGUGGUCGAAUACGCAGUUACACGCAUUUAAGUAAUUAUGGGAAUGGGCAUUGUUAACCGGACGACGCAAAUUGGGCAUUUGCAAUAAUUUAUUGUCUUUAAAAUAAGCUUGCAUUGUCGUUGUGACUGUUUAAAUCGUUAUCGAAUGGGAUUGCCCGACAAUGAUGGUCCCUAAUGAUGGCUAUUGUUUUAGUCAUAGGCUGCAGGUGUUAUUGUGUGUUACUGUGUAGGAUUCAAAAAAUCACAUUUAGAGUACAUUUGUUGAAGAAUUACUCAAUACCAGAAUCGUCCCAAAAAUAGUUUUUUUAAAAUAAUAGUAUUUUAAGACUAAAUAUCUGCUUUUCAUCGAAAAUAUACGAUUUAUGUAUAAACGAA